UGUAAGCGUAUACCAAAGUUGUUGCAGUUAAAACGCUCGUAGUCGGAAUUUGGCAGUUCCGGAUGUGUGCGCGUCGUGUGCGCACUUCGCGGGGAUUGCUUUUGUGGUCUUGCGUAGGAUGAGGCACUUUUAUUGGUGAACGUCCUCACGCAACCACUUUUUACUGUGAGAAAAUCAGAGUGCUCAAAGCAGGCAUUUGCCGUGAAUGUAUUAGCAUGGAAUAAUAGAAUAGGACUUGGUUCUAUUUUGUUGGUUUGUUGGGACUGAGUAAUGAUUAAGAGGGACAGUUGGGGGCAUUUGUAUUUCGGUGCUAGAGGUGAAAUUCUUAGAUUACCGAAAGACAAACUGCUGCGAAAGCGUCUGCCAAGGAUGUUUUCAUUGA
RNAcentral lists this ribosomal RNA (382 nucleotides) under uncultured eukaryote. RNAcentral describes it as "partial 18S ribosomal RNA". It matches the Rfam family "Eukaryotic small subunit ribosomal RNA", at positions 592 to 976 of the family's 1831-position model. The record is from RNAcentral.